Molecule: ribosomal RNA, 497 nt
Filed under: uncultured bacterium
Lineage: Bacteria
Description: partial 16S ribosomal RNA
Rfam family: Bacterial small subunit ribosomal RNA
Source: RNAcentral
GAUGAACGCUGGCGGCGUGCCUAAUACAUGCAAGUCGAGCGAACAGACGAGAAGCUUGCUUCUCUGAUGUUAGCGGCGGACGGGUGAGUAACACGUGGAUAACCUACCUAUAAGACUGGGAUAACUUCGGGAAACCGGAGCUAAUACCGGAUAACAUUUUGAACCGCAUGGUUCAAAAGUGAAAGACGGUCUUGCUGUCACUUAUAGAUGGAUCCGCGCUGCAUUAGCUAGUUGGUAAGGUAACGGCUUACCAAGGCAACGAUGCAUAGCCGACCUGAGAGGGUGAUCGGCCACACUGGAACUGAGACACGGUCCAGACUCCUACGGGAGGCAGCAGUAGGGAAUCUUCCGCAAUGGGCGAAAGCCUGACGGAGCAACGCCGCGUGAGUGAUGAAGGUCUUCGGAUCGUAAAACUCUGUUAUUAGGGAAGAACAUAUGUGUAAGUAACUGUGCACAUCUUGACGGUACCUAAUCAGAAAGCCACGGCUAACUACGUG